GACGAACGCUGGCGGCGUGCUUAACACAUGCAAGUCGAACGGAAAGGCCCAGCUUGCUGGGUGCUCGAGUGGCGAACGGGUGAGUAACACGUGGGUGAUCUGCCCCUAACUUCGGGAUAAGCUUGGGAAACUGGGUCUAAUACCGGAUAGGACAAUCGUUUAGUGUCGGUUGUGGAAAGUUUUUUCGGUUAGGGAUGAGCCCGCGGCCUAUCAGCUUGUUGGUGGGGUAAUGGCCUACCAAGGCGUCGACGGGUAGCCGGCCUGAGAGGGUGGACGGCCACAGUGGGACUGAGAUACGGCCCAGACUCCUACGGGAGGCAGCAGUGGGGAAUAUUGCACAAUGGGCGCAAGCCUGAUGCAGCGACGCCGCGUGGGGGAUGACGGCCUUCGGGUUGUAAACCUCUUUCGACAGGGACGAAGCUUUGGUGACGGUACCUGUAUAAGAAGCGCCGGCUAACUACGUG
This 464-nucleotide ribosomal RNA is filed under the name uncultured bacterium. RNAcentral describes it as "partial 16S ribosomal RNA". It matches the Rfam family "Bacterial small subunit ribosomal RNA", at positions 28 to 507 of the family's 1533-position model. The record is from RNAcentral.